Molecule: ribosomal RNA, 430 nt
Filed under: Pseudomonadota bacterium
Lineage: Bacteria; Pseudomonadati; Pseudomonadota
Description: Proteobacteria bacterium partial 16S ribosomal RNA
Rfam family: Bacterial small subunit ribosomal RNA
Source: RNAcentral
UGGGGAAUAUUGGACAAUGGGGGGAACCCUGAUCCAGCCAUGCCGCGUGUUUGAAGAAGGCCUUAUGGUUGUAAAGCACUUUAAGCGAGGAGGAGGGUACUGGUAUUAAUACUACCAGGUACUGGACGUUACUCGCAGAAUAAGCACCGGCUAACUCUGUGCCAGCAGCCGCGGUAAUACAGAGGGUGCAAGCGUUAAUCGGAAUUACUGGGCGUAAAGCGCGCGUAGGUGGUUCGUUAAGUUGAAUGUGAAAGCCCCGGGCUCAACCUGGGAACUGCAUCCAAAACUGGCGAGCUAGAGUAGGGGAGAGGGUGGUGGAAUUUCCUGUGUAGCGGUGAAAUGCGUAGAUAUAGGAAGGAACACCAGUGGAGAAGGCGACCACCUGGGCUCAUACUGACACUGAGGUGAGAAAGCGUGGGGAGCAAACAGG